Molecule: ribosomal RNA, 585 nt
Filed under: uncultured Bacillota bacterium
Lineage: Bacteria; Bacillati; Bacillota
Description: bacterial SSU rRNA
Rfam family: Bacterial small subunit ribosomal RNA
Source: RNAcentral
AGGGUGAUCGGCCACACUGGGACUGAGACACGGCCCAGACUCCUACGGGAGGCAGCAGUAGGGAAUCUUCCGCAAUGGACGAAAGUCUGACGGAGCAACCCCGCGUGAGUGAUGAAGGUUUUCGGAUCGUAAAGCUCUGUUGUUAGGGAAGAACAAGUACCGUUCGAAUAGGGCGGUACCUUGACGGUACCUAACCAGAAAGCCACGGCUAACUACGUGCCAGCAGCCGCGGUAAUACGUAGGUGGCAAGCGUUGUCCGGAAUUAUUGGGCGUAAAGGGCUCGCAGGCGGUUUCUUAAGUCUGAUGUGAAAGCCCCCGGCUCAACCGGGGAGGGUCAUUGGAAACUGGGGAACUUGAGUGCAGAAGAGGAGAGUGGAAUUCCACGUGUAGCGGUGAAAUGCGUAGAGAUGUGGAGGAACACCAGUGGCGAAGGCGACUCUCUGGUCUGUAACUGACGCUGAGGAGCGAAAGCGUGGGGAGCGAACAGGAUUAGAUACCCUGGUAGUCCACGCCGUAAACGAUGAGUGCUAAGUGUUAGGGGGUUUCCGCCCCUUAGUGCUGCAGCUAACGCAUUAAGCACUCCGC